Long non-coding RNA from Corvus hawaiiensis (hawaiian crow), 3525 nucleotides. RefSeq lists it as uncharacterized. Lineage: Eukaryota; Metazoa; Chordata; Aves; Passeriformes; Corvidae. The transcript has 3 exons. The record is from RefSeq and is a predicted model, not a curated record.
GCAAAAAGUAUCUUUAAAAGCAAAGGAAAAAAAUCUAUUUUUAUUAUGAAUAUGAACUUCUCCUAUCUCCUUUUAUGAAAGUUAUGGAGCUCUGAAUUGCGUUGCCAAUUCGUAAUGGACCUUCUUGUGGGAGAGGAGCUUCGCAAGUAAUGAUCUGCUGUAAAUCUGCAAAAACAGCAAUUAGGCUGUUCCCUUUCACUGCAGCCCAAUCCCAAACUGAAGGAGAAGCAUCUGGCACAAUGGAAACUGUCACAACACAAGGCUGCAACUUCGACUGGUGAGAGAAGGCUCCCCUUGGAAGUGCAGAUCACAGAGAGGAGACUAUUUGAAAGGACCCUGCAGCUACAAGGCACAGGCACAGCCAUGCUCUUGUGGGCGAUGAGGAGCCUCAGUCUGCGGGAACCAAAGGCAAAGAGAAACACACUCCCCUGGCGCCAAACUCAUUAUGUGCAUGGCCAGAGCAACCUUUGCUUAUUAUAUUUUGAGAAGAAAUCCCUUAAACACACUCCCCCCUCAAGUCCAAGGCAGGUGGUGCUUGUGGGGGCUCCCCAGGUGAUGUCUCGUGAUGGGGAAGUGCUCAGCAAGGAGGGGUGCUGGACCAGGAGGUGGCUCCUUGUGGGCUGCUAUCGUGGCUCCUGGCUGAUCCCUCUGACAGCCUCGCUCCAGGUGCUCAGCAAAAACACAGUCCUCCUCUCCACAGCCUUUCCUAUUUACUUAUUGACUCUUCUUGCCAGUGGCUCUUUGCUUUAGGGAGGCUGAGAGGAAGGAGAAGGAGAGGAAGGCUGGGGAGGAAUGGGAACUCUUCAGCACAGGAGGUGGACCGUGUUUCUUUUAUCUUUACCAAAGGGGAAGGAAAAAGCCUCAGGAGGGUAUUCCCAGGGAGGAAGUAAUUCCCUUUUCUUCCACCCAGCAGGAGGUUGCAUCCUGCCUUCAGCUCUCUGCCCCCUGGCUUCCCAGGCCAGCGGGGUUAUGUGCUGCUGGUUCUGCCCACACCACCACAGAAUGCCUCCAUGCUGGGUGGUUUUAAAGGUCCUCACAGCUCCUUUGGGGCUUUGACAAGGCUCGUCACCCGCUGCAGACUCUAUGGGAUGGGCUGGGGAUGAGUACAUGCCUGCUUUGGGUGCUGGGACCCUGUCCAGUGUCAUCAUCCUCAUUUUCUGAGCAGGAAAAGAAAGCAUCAAUGUCCCUGUGCCCAAAGAUGGCAAAGACUAGCACAAAGCCCUUUUCCUUCAUUCCAGGGGUUGGUUUCAGCAUCAGAGGCCUGGGGGGUGGAGGGGAUAAACUGGGGGUAUCCUGAACCCUUCUCUUCUAGCACAGAGCCUCUGCCCACAGCAGUAGCAGCAUCAGACGGCUGUGAGUUCACUUCCCACAUGAAGGUAUUGCUCUGCUGCUCACACAAGCAUUAUUGCUAUAUUCUAAUUUCACAUGAAAAAAUUCCUGCCUGGACAUGCCUUUCUACCAGCACUGGAAGAACCAUUCAAAACAAAACAAAAAAUUAGAGAUGGCUCCCUUACCUGUUAGAUGCCUACAACCUUGCCUUGACUACUACUGUUGGGAACCCAGCAUUUUUUUAACACCCAAUUAAAUUAGUGUAAUUGGGAUAGAGUUGCAAUUUCUUUGCCUCCAGCUGUGAGUCAUAAUCUGUUUAGCACCUGAGUGCUAUUUCACUUUAUUUUUAGUACUUAGUCCAUAGUUUGGAAGGGGAGAAAGCAAACCUACAUGUCAGUCAGGAUUUUUUGAAGGUGUAGAUUACUUAUCGUUAAUUUAAAUGUGGCAUUUAAAUGACCAUUCACAGGUGGUUUUAAUGCUUUUAUUAACUUCUUUUUUGGCCCUUGUAAGGGAUACAUCUGAAAAAAGAAAUGUCAAAGACCUUGAACUACAGGCCAUGCCAAUAAUACAUUACUGCUACUAUACCAUGGGAAAAACUGUAAAACAGAAGAGCUCCCAGUGAGGGAAAAACCAGAACUUUAUUAUAAUAAAGAAUAAUAAAAAUGGCAGAAAAAUAUUAUCAAUACCUAGUCUUGUUUGAGCUACCAGUUCAGCCUACAGUACAUUUUGAAAUGAUGAAUCGGCUGGAGAGAAAAACAUAUUCCAGAUGUUUUCUGUGUUUGUCUCCAGUAUUUACUUCAUCAUGCCUUAUCCAGAGGGGUUAUUCAACAGAAAUAAAUUAUAUACUAAGUAUGAUCAGUGAGGAAAAUUAUUGAUUGUGCAAGUAUAAAAGACAAAGUAGCACUGGGGAAAUAGCUCAGGAUAAAACAUAAACCAGCCAGAAAUUUUGUCUGCAGUUCCGAUCCUUGGUUAUAACUGAGACCAACCAGCCUUAGAAAAAUCAUUCUGAAUCAUGGUUGAUAAAAACUGUAGACACAAAUAAUUGUGAUGGAUUGGGAAACCAAGACCCCAACAGUGGGAAUCCCCCCAGCCGGAGCAAGGCGGUGAAACGCCCGCGUGAACCUGCUGUGUCCUGUCAUAUGGGGAGGGACAAGGGCCUCACCUUUGCUGGGGUCAGCGUGCUUGGAGCCCAGUGCUGGGAAGCUGGGGAGGGCCAGGAGGCAACAAUGCUGUGCUGACUCCAAGGACAUUGGAGAGGGAUCCCUCCUGGCAUGGCUAAACUGCUGUUGCACAAGACAGCUGAGUGCCAGGUCCUUGAUUCAUCCCCAACCUAAGGAGGUUUCAGCUGAAAUGGUAGAAGAUUUACGGGCAUCGGAGAUGGACUAAGUCGCUAAGAUAGCCAUAACAUGUUGACUUACAGGACGUGUCUAGUAGUGUCCCCACAACUGAAUUGGGAAUGGCAGCAGGUCUGUGACCCUCCAGAUCAUCUGUCAUACAAAAAAACCCAAAACUUCAAGGCUCCUCAGGCAACUUAUCUACGGGUAUGUUUAUUUUGCAAAGCAAGACUGAAUGUCUUAAAAAAAGAGCCCCACCUCAUCCAUCUAUCUACACUCUCCAGGGUGAGGUUUUCUUUAAAAACAAAAUAGCCAAAAGCUAAUUGCAUGUAAGUUCAGACUUAAGAUAUUUUAGUGACACUCAGAAGGUGAGGAACAAAACCCCUGUCACUAAGCUGAUGUCUCUAAAAUGUCUGCCAAAACAGCUCUUUAAAAAGAUAUUUGCACCUUUAUUUAGUUCCUCCUUGUGAGGAAUGUUUACUGCAGUCCGUAGAUGUGGUUAUGUCGUGUUUCCACUGUGUUUUCAUUCAGUGUUGCUCUGUAUUUGUGGUUUUCUCAUUUGUGACAGUCUAGUAACUGGAGCCAUUUGUACCUGAGCAAAUAAUAUCAAAUCUGAAUACUUUAUAAAUAUUUACAAUAUGUGGUGUGUCUCCCACUCACAUCAAAUGCAAAGUAUAAAAAGCAAAAACAAGCAGAAACAAACAGAACCUGUGUUACGUUAUAAUAAAUAUUUACUGUAUGUACUAUUGACUAAAGAGUCCCAUACAGCUAUUUAGGAGGCAUUGUUUCUGUCAGGCUGUUCUAUAUUAAAACAUUCUAAAUGAAGCUGUUUGAGAAUAAAAAUGUGCAUGUUAGGGAGUGA